AAAAAGGCUCUUUUAAGAGCCACCAAAGUGUCAUCCAAAGGGCUG
This is a non-coding RNA of Mus musculus (house mouse), 45 nucleotides long. NCBI's taxonomy places the organism in Eukaryota, Metazoa, Chordata, Mammalia, Rodentia, Muridae. The record is from Rfam.